Molecule: long non-coding RNA, 2478 nt
Organism: Canis lupus familiaris (dog)
Lineage: Eukaryota; Metazoa; Chordata; Mammalia; Carnivora; Canidae
Exons: 3
Source: RefSeq, a predicted model, not a curated record
UCCCCAGAAUGGAAGGCAUCAACCACACAAUAUAAAAUAAUACACCCAUGGCCCUUGUUGUAUUCUCCGCAGUAUCUAAGCACAACUGAAGUCACGCUGUUCAUGCAUCAACUUGUCCUACUGUGCGGUUUGCUUGCUUAUUGCCCCUCAGUCUCCCAAGGUCCCCAGAGAGAAUUGGCUCUCCAGGCAAAGGCCCUUGUCUCUGUGCCUUGUGCUAUAUGACCACGGAACACAGCUUGAGAAAUAUAAUGUGUGAUGGAAAAAGGACAUGGACAUCCUGGUGAAAAAUAAUUGGAUGGCUGUUUCCAUGGAAACUGAUAGAGGGACAUCACUGAAUUCUUCUGAAGAAUAGCAAUUGAUAAUUGGAGCUUGGAACUGCGUGCUCUGUGACAGUGGCUUGGAUGGUGUCCUGAUGUGAAGCAUGUUCUUCUAACCUACAGAGCUCUCCUCGCUCCUCCCUGAACAGCCAGCCCUGGUUGUACUCAGCCGAAAUCAAUGCAAUCAAUGAAAACAGCACACAAGUUCCACUGAACUUUAUAGUCUAACAUAGGCCUGGAGCUUACAGUUUUAUUUAUUUAUUUAUAAGAUUUUAUUUGUUUAUUCAUGAGAGACACAGAGAAAGAGGCAGAGACACCAGCAGAGGAAGAAGCAGGCUCCCUGCAGGGAGCUGGAUGUGAGACUUGAUCCCAGAACCCGGGUGGAAGGGCGAUGCUCAACCGCUGAGCCACCCAGGCAUCGCUGGAGCUUAUAGUUUAUACGGACGUUUGGCAGGCAGCCCCGAUGCAGCCUACCAGGCUCUUACUUGGGAGGCAUCCUCCUCUAUAUUCGCCUCCCCCCGCCCCCCCUCCCCCUUGCCCCACGCUGUUCACGCAGGCCUGGAGCUCCUUGCCCCGGGUCAAUACGGAGCGAGCCGGCUGCCAAACAGAAAGAGCAAGGACUUAAGCGUUUGUUUUCCCACAACGCCGUCUGGUAUUUCCUGCAACUGCGAGUGAAUCGGCUGUUACCCUAAAAUAAGAAGUUGAAGAGAUAUGAAUGUCUUGGACAGCCUGCGCGCACACCCAGGGCAGCUCUUCUGUCUUUGUGAAGAUGCGCACAGACCAGCGAGCCCGUGAUAACCACCUGCCGAGUCAGCCAACAGCUGCCAGGACUCCGCUCCCGCCGCGCCCGCGAUCCCACCGCCUCGGCAGCCCCAGCCCGGCGCCUGCCCCUGCGAGCGAACCCUGCACCCUGCGCCUGGGGCUGGGGGUGUGAGGGACGCACUCCCGUCACCCACUUCUGUUGUAAGGCCCAGCAGUGUAACACGAGGAGGUUUUCUGGGCGCGCUUGACCUGUAUUCGGGAGCCGCUUAGGACGAGGUUCCUCUGGCUGCUCACAGAAGGCGAAGCCAGGGUUGCAAAGCAUCAGAAGGAUUCAGGCACCUGGCCCUGAACUUGGAGGUGCGGCGUGGCAAGGGGCGUGGGGGCGAGCCAAGGGGGACGGACGUCGCCCUACAACCAUAAAGAACGAGGUCCUGCGGCAGCAGGAAUGGGUUCGGGAGGGAGCCCCAGCUGCACACGGCGCUGCUCGGAGAGCCCAGCUGGCCGUGGGCCCUACUGGACGGGCGCCCACUAAUGCACGUUGUUGUGACCUCCUAAUGUGUGAUAACCUGCUCGCAACAAGAAAACAAAGAGUCUCAUGGAAAACUGCAGCCCCCAGAAAUGAAAAGGAGGCGGCAGGCACAUGAUGCCUGGGUAUUCUCUGACUGUUGGGAAUUGUGAUCCUUUUAAACAACGCUCUGCAGCUGAGCAGUGAGGGUAUUCGUUCUGGGGGUUUGACUUUUCAUGAACAGAGUUCACACUCCAAAGUGGCCAAGAGCCAGAGAGGGGGAAUCAGAGACUAUCCCUUCUCUGCCCAAAGGAGUUGCCAUAAAGGAUAGUCGGGGUUGUGGGUUUGAUUGGGGAGCAUCUGAAGUCAACAGACCACCAGUGGUAGAAUCAGAGGUGCUGGGUGCCUUCCUGCAGGAAGGUGAGGCCGGGCACUGCCGUUCACCUGGGCAUCUGGGAGCCCUGGGCCUGAGGGGAGCACUCCGUUCAGUUAUCAGCAAAUGGAAAGCAAGCAAUACUCAACCAAUCUUUUCUGCCAAAAAGAGAAGGCCAUACUACCCUGAAGGUCAGAAGAAAACCAUCAGCAGACAGCUGGCUACUCUGCCUGACAAUUUAUCCAAUGUCCACUUUACACACAGCCUUUGAGAGACAGGAGGCAGAGGUCAAGGUGCAGGGGAGAGGCCAGAAGAUGUUUCCUGGAGACCACACAUGAGGGCAAGCGGCAGAUGACGCAGGACUUAUUCUCAUCAGAUUAAGCUUAAUUAAAAUCUGUCACAUUAAACGGGCACAGGAUUAAUGCAAAUGUUGAGGGGGGGGGUCAAUGCACCAAAGAGAGAACUGGAAAUUUACUUUAGAAAUUACUGCACUUUUUAGAGAUUAGUGGCUUAUUAGACAU